UCCAGACUUUGAUUAUGGCUCAGGACGAACGCUGGCGGCGUGCCUAAUACAUGCAAGUCGAACGAACUCUGGUAUUGAUUGGUGCUUGCAUCAUGAUUUACAUUUGAGUGAGUGGCGAACUGGUGAGUAACACGUGGGAAACCUGCCCAGAAGCGGGGGAUAACACCUGGAAACAGAUGCUAAUACCGCAUAACAACUUGGACCGCAUGGUCCGAGUUUGAAAGAUGGCUUCGGCUAUCACUUUUGGAUGGUCCCGCGGCGUAUUAGCUAGAUGGUGGGGUAACGGCUCACCAUGGCAAUGAUACGUAGCCGACCUGAGAGGGUAAUCGGCCACAUUGGGACUGAGACACGGCCCAAACUCCUACGGGAGGCAGCAGUAGGGAAUCUUCCACAAUGGACGAAAGUCUGAUGGAGCAACGCCGCGUGAGUGAAGAAGGGUUUCGGCUCGUAAAACUCUGUUGUUAAAGAAGAACAUAUCUGAGAGUAACUGUUCAGGUAUUGACGGUAUUUAACCAGAAAGCCACGGCUAACUACGUGCCAGCAGCCGCGGUAAUACGUAGGUGGCAAGCGUUGUCCGGAUUUAUUGGGCGUAAAGCGAGCGCAGGCGGUUUUUUAAGUCUGAUGUGAAAGCCUUCGGCUCAACCGAAGAAGUGCAUCGGAAACUGGGAAACUUGAGUGCAGAAGAGGACAGUGGAACUCCAUGUGUAGCGGUGAAAUGCGUAGAUAUAUGGAAGAACACCAGUGGCGAAGGCGGCUGUCUGGUCUGUAACUGACGCUGAGGCUCGAAAGUAUGGGUAGCAAACAGGAUUAGAUACCCUGGUAGUCCAUACCGUAAACGAUGAAUGCUAAGUGUUGGAGGGUUUCCGCCCUUCAGUGCUGCAGCUAACGCAUUAAGCAUUCCGCCUGGGGAGUACGGCCGCAAGGCUGAAACUCAAAGGAAUUGACGGGGGCCCGCACAAGCGGUGGAGCAUGUGGUUUAAUUCGAAGCUACGCGAAGAACCUUACCAGGUCUUGACAUACUAUGCAAAUCUAAGAGAUUAGACGUUCCCUUCGGGGACAUGGAUACAGGUGGUGCAUGGUUGUCGUCAGCUCGUGUCGUGAGAUGUUGGGUUAAGUCCCGCAACGAGCGCAACCCUUAUUAUCAGUUGCCAGCAUUAAGUUGGGCACUCUGGUGAGACUGCCGGUGACAAACCGGAGGAAGGUGGGGAUGACGUCAAAUCAUCAUGCCCCUUAUGACCUGGGCUACACACGUGCUACAAUGGAUGGUACAACGAGUUGCGAACUCGCGAGAGUAAGCUAAUCUCUUAAAGCCAUUCUCAGUUCGGAUUGUAGGCUGCAACUCGCCUACAUGAAGUCGGAAUCGCUAGUAAUCGCGGAUCAGCAUGCCGCGGUGAAUACGUUCCCGGGCCUUGUACACACCGCCCGUCACACCAUGAGAGUUUGUAACACCCAAAGUCGGUGGGGUAACCUUUUAGGAACCAGCCGCCUAAGGUGGGACAGAUGAUUAGGGUGAAGUCGUAACAAGCUAGCCGUA
Molecule: ribosomal RNA, 1534 nt
Filed under: Lactiplantibacillus plantarum
Lineage: Bacteria; Bacillati; Bacillota; Bacilli; Lactobacillales; Lactobacillaceae
Description: Lactobacillus plantarum 16S ribosomal RNA
Rfam family: Bacterial small subunit ribosomal RNA
Source: RNAcentral